AUUGCGUCUCAUUUAUCACGCAAACCAAAACCAAAAUUGCGUUGAUAUAACGACGCAUUCUCUUUUAUGUCACACAUGCGCAGUAGCCAGCACUAUCUUUUAAGGCCAGGAGGCUUUAUUGUUAGCCUAUUUAUAACAAAAACAAAACGAUAUUCACGUUGCUUAACGUAACGACUCAUUAUAAAUAUGCUGUUAAGUCCCCACAAACUAAUACUGAGCUCUUUUGGGCUGUUAAAGUCAAGUUUUGAUUUUAGCAAGUCUUUUUCUGUUUGAUUGAAUUAAAACGAACCCUUUAAACAUUGACAUAAAUUUGUCCAGAGCGUGAUUUGCGCACAACAACCUCUAGGCCUACAACGUUUUGAAUAGUUUCAAAUAUUUCAUUCAUAAAUCCCCAGACCCCUUCCCUCUGCUACUACACCAAUGAUGUCAUUUUAUUGCGACCACUCUCUGGAUUGUGGAUUUUACGGACUGCAUUCCCAUGUACUGGGUUUAGCUGGACCGUAUUGGACUGGAGGUGACAGGAUAUUUUGUACCUGCUUCGGACUGGUUCUGUCAUUAACCUACUGAGCUGGUGCUUCUGUCCCAGGUAAAAUGUGUUUGAACUUACAUUUGCAUCUAUACAUGAAGUAGGCAGCCUAGAGCAGGAGGCAGGCGUCAGAUCAGAGGGUUGCAGGCAUCUCCAUCGCAUCGCUCCUAGGCAUCUGAAAGUGUACCGUUGCGCACAGAUCAUGCUGGUAACGAGUUAUUCAAAGGGUCUACCAAUCAUGGCAAAAACAGAAAUCCAGCUCCUCAGCCCAGGCAGUGCCAACAACCCAGCUGAUCCAGGAGCUGCAGCGAGGGGUAGUGAUGACACUCCGGGCACCCCGACUGCCCUCUUCAACCAUUCCCAUGGAAUUCAUCCUGUCCAGCCUCCGUCAGAUAAUCCAGCCCUCCCCCUCCUACUUCCAGAGACUAAUUUGCAGAUUCUAAUGGGUAUGUGCUAAGGAGAUGAUGAGUGAACACGCUGCCAGUUUGGUUGCAGUGUGUCACCGAAUUCCGUAGAUUCAUCAUCACUAUGUGGGGUGGAAGCUGCACAGACUACAACAAGGCUUCUGGGACCCCACUCCCCUCAAGCAAGACAUUUACCACCUGCUUCACCUAUGAAGGACUGAUUAUUGGCAGUGAUACCACAACGCAUACAAGCUGUUCAGCCUGCUGCCCUCUGGGUAGAGGUACAGGAGUAUCUGCUUCCGCAACUCCAGACUCGCCAACAUCUUCAUCUACCAGACUGUCAUGCCGAAUCGUCCCUCCUCUCUCCCAUCCCAGGAUGCCGAAUUAUGACCAAGUGACUGAAGAACUGCCAUACGUCUUCACUUGGUCAUGGCAUGACCAGAGGCUGUAUGCAGACUCACAGUAUAAUUCUACACGAUCCACUAUAAGUCAUAUUUUAUUUCAGGUGUUUUGAAUAGCUGUGAUACAUUAAUGAUGCCUGCCAACGAUUCUGAAUUGUGUACAGUCUGUAAUAUUUCUUCUUCAAGGGACCAGUCAAGUCGAUGUGACAGGUGAUUUUUAUACAAAACUUUGUCAAAGUUUACGUAAUUGACACAUCUGGUUGGUCCUUGUUUUGAAUUCUGAAUUGUCAAUAUACUAUAUGCCUUUAUCAGGUUUGAGCUUGGAGUUGAGUAUAUGUUAAAUUAAUAGAAUGUGUUUUUUGCUAGUCUUCACAUUAAACUUAGACCGAACUGCCUUUACCUUUGGAUCGUCUGCAGUUCCCUGUUGGCCCACUACCAUCUGCCCCGCAUGGUGCGCGACACCAGACACUGGAGCAGCUGGGUCGCCACUCAUCAACACAGAGUGAAACAGUGCUUUGACCGCUCCCACAGGGUUAAAAGCCCCACACUUGCUCCACUGGACUGAUUGAGGAUCCGCAGGCCUACCCGGGGCCACAAGCUCAAGUCAUUCUGUUCUGCCCCACUGCAAGUGACUGAGCAGCUGGGUCCCGCCAUUUUCCGCCGUGUUCGCAAGGUGCCGCCGCCUACUGCAACAGACCUGGAGGCGACCGGCCCGUACGAGGGCCCAUCCAGGCCAUCUCAGAGACUAUGUACUCUGACAAUAUGAAUGAUGUUCCUGGGUCUCCCCUGGGGAGCCCUGGGGAGGGGGGAAAUGUUAUGUCUGCUCUGUUGCCUGUGCUGAUAUUUCAUAUUUCCUGAUGCUACUUGAAGACGACAUAAUAACAUUUGUGCAGGGCAUGCUGGGAUGCGAGUUCAGUGAAAUAAACGUCUGGUAUGGCUAGACUUUGA
Molecule: long non-coding RNA, 2279 nt
Organism: Engraulis encrasicolus (European anchovy)
Lineage: Eukaryota; Metazoa; Chordata; Actinopteri; Clupeiformes; Engraulidae
Exons: 7
Source: RefSeq, a predicted model, not a curated record